RNAcentral lists this long non-coding RNA (562 nucleotides) under Pan troglodytes (chimpanzee). RNAcentral's name for it is "long non-coding RNA NONPTRT014823". The record is from RNAcentral. Lineage: Eukaryota; Metazoa; Chordata; Mammalia; Primates; Hominidae.
CAUAUAGAUUUUCUCUCAACAUGACAGUAGUACAUCCCUACUAUGACUACAUAAUAAAAUUAUUUUCAAGAUAUUCAGCUUCCGUAUAUCUUAAUGGUACAUGGGUGACCAAGACUACAAUAUACUUUCAUGAUUUGGCCAGAGCCCUUUGACUUUAUUAUUCUGAUAAUCAAAAUAGUUUCCUUAUGAAGAAGUAUUCUUGCCAACUAACCUAACCACAUAUUUGAAACAUCAGAUGUUAAUAGGUUGGCUGAUAUUUUAUCUUUUGUGAAAUUUGCCUUACCUUAAAGGUUUUCCACUUUAAAGGUCACAAAAGAGGUUUGCUUUGAUGAAGAAAUGUUUCACUAACAAAGGGCUCUGAAAGAAUGUUGGCCUCAGUUAAAGUGAAGGUAUGAAUGGUGGCAGGCCAAGAAAACAACUGAAUAUUAGUUUCUUGAUUCCAAAGGUUUAAUAUUUUCAUUUAUAAUAAAUGAGUAACAAUGAUAAAAAUUUUUUCCCAGAAAUAAAAACAAUGGAAUAUAUUAUGGGAAGUGUUACAAGGGAAUGUCUCCUCUCUUAACAA